RNAcentral lists this transfer RNA (73 nucleotides) under Trichonephila clavata. It matches the Rfam family "tRNA". From Rfam's summary of the family: Transfer RNA (tRNA) molecules are approximately 80 nucleotides in length. Their secondary structure includes four short double-helical elements and three loops (D, anti-codon, and T loops). Lineage: Eukaryota; Metazoa; Arthropoda; Arachnida; Araneae; Nephilidae. The record is from Rfam by way of RNAcentral.
GUCCUUGUAGCGCAAUGGAUAGCGCGUUGGACUCCUAAUCCAUAGGUCGUGAGUUCGAAUCCCGCUUGGGAUG